Molecule: ribosomal RNA, 306 nt
Filed under: uncultured bacterium
Lineage: Bacteria
Description: bacterial SSU rRNA
Rfam family: Bacterial small subunit ribosomal RNA
Source: RNAcentral
CGCGAUUCGCCCUUUGCCAGCAGCCGCGGUAAUACGUAGGGGGCAAGCGUUGUCCGGAAUCAUUGGGCGUAAAGAGCUCGUAGGCGGUUCAGUAAGUCGGGUGUGAAAGCUCCGAGCUCAACUCGGAGAGGCCACUCGAUACUGCUGUGACUAGAAUCCAGUAGGGGAGUGUGGAACUCCUGGUGUAGCGGUGAAAUGCGCAGAUAUCAGGAAGAACACCAGCGGCGAAGGCGGCACUCUGGGCUGGUAUUGACGCUGAGGAGCGAAAGUGUGGGUAGCGAACAGGAUUAGAUACCCUGGUAGUCC